GAGCGCGGGAGCUUGUCUGAUCCCUUCGGGGUGACGCGAGUGGAACGAGCGGCGGACGGGUGAGUAACACGUGGGCAACCUGCCUGUAAGACUGGGAUAACCCCGGGAAACCGGGGCUAAUACCGGAUAAUACUUUGCUUCGCAUGAAGCAAAGUUGAAAGGUGGCUUUUAGCUAUCACUUACAGAUGGGCCCGCGGCGCAUUAGCUAGUUGGUAAGGUAAUGGCUUACCAAGGCAACGAUGCGUAGCCGACCUGAGAGGGUGAUCGGCCACACUGGGACUGAGACACGGCCCAGACUCCUACGGGAGGCAGCAGUAGGGAAUCUUCCGCAAUGGACGAAAGUCUGACGGAGCAACGCCGCGUGAACGAAGAAGGUUUUCGGAUCGUAAAGUUCUGUUGUUAGGGAAGAACAAGUACCGUUCGAAUAGGGCGGUACCUUGACGGUACCUAUCGAGGAAGCCCCGGCUAACUACGUGCCAGCAGCCGCGGUAAUACGUAGGGGGCAAGCGUUGUCCGGAAUUAUUGGGCGUAAAGCGCGCGUAGGCGGUUUCUUAAGUCUGAUGUGAAAUCUUGCGGCUCAACCGCAAGCGGCCAUUGGAAACUGAGGAACUUGAGUGCAGAAGAGGAGAGCGGAAUUCCACGUGUAGCGGUGAAAUGCGU
RNAcentral lists this ribosomal RNA (660 nucleotides) under Gracilibacillus sp. RNAcentral's name for it is "bacterial SSU rRNA". It matches the Rfam family "Bacterial small subunit ribosomal RNA", at positions 64 to 691 of the family's 1533-position model. The record is from RNAcentral. Lineage: Bacteria; Bacillati; Bacillota; Bacilli; Caryophanales; Bacillaceae.